RNAcentral lists this ribosomal RNA (211 nucleotides) under Staphylococcus aureus. RNAcentral describes it as "partial 16S ribosomal RNA". It matches the Rfam family "Bacterial small subunit ribosomal RNA", at positions 1248 to 1457 of the family's 1533-position model. Lineage: Bacteria; Bacillati; Bacillota; Bacilli; Caryophanales; Staphylococcaceae. The record is from RNAcentral.
AGCGAAACAGCGAGGUCAAGCAAAUCCCAUAAAGUUGUUCUCAGUUCGGAUUGUAGUCUGCAACUCGACUACAUGAAGCUGGAAUCGCUAGUAAUCGUAGAUCAGCAUGCUACGGUGAAUACGUUCCCGGGUCUUGUACACACCGCCCGUCACACCACGAGAGUUUGUAACACCCGAAGCCGGUGGAGUAACCUUUUAGGAGCUAGCCGUC